RNAcentral lists this transfer RNA (99 nucleotides) under Aureimonas glaciei. RNAcentral describes it as "tRNA-Arg". Lineage: Bacteria; Pseudomonadati; Pseudomonadota; Alphaproteobacteria; Hyphomicrobiales; Aurantimonadaceae. The record is from RNAcentral.
GUGGUCGGUCGCCAGCAGGAUCAGGCCGACGCGCUUUUCGAUGGCGCGGGCGUCGAACCCGAUCGGCGCCGUCGCCUGUUCGAUCCGGACGGUCAUGCC